Non-coding RNA from Bos taurus (domestic cattle), 72 nucleotides. Lineage: Eukaryota; Metazoa; Chordata; Mammalia; Artiodactyla; Bovidae. The record is from Rfam.
UCCCUGGUGGCUCAGAGGUUAAAGCGUCUGCCUCCAAUGCAGGAGACCCGGGUUCGAUCCCUGGGUGGGGAA